This 76-nucleotide transfer RNA is filed under the name Rickettsiales bacterium. RNAcentral describes it as "tRNA-Thr". It matches the Rfam family "tRNA". From Rfam's summary of the family: Transfer RNA (tRNA) molecules are approximately 80 nucleotides in length. Their secondary structure includes four short double-helical elements and three loops (D, anti-codon, and T loops). Lineage: Bacteria; Pseudomonadati; Pseudomonadota; Alphaproteobacteria; Rickettsiales. The record is from RNAcentral.
GCUGGAAUAGCUCAGCUGGUAGAGCAACUGAUUUGUAAUCAGUAGGUCGCAAGUUCGAAUCUUGUUUCCAGCACCA